This 804-nucleotide ribosomal RNA is filed under the name Aedes galloisi. RNAcentral describes it as "partial 16S ribosomal RNA". The stretch from base 1 to 562 matches the Rfam family "Bacterial large subunit ribosomal RNA", at positions 1861 to 2925 of the family's 2925-position model. The record is from RNAcentral. Lineage: Eukaryota; Metazoa; Arthropoda; Insecta; Diptera; Culicidae.
GCCCACUGAUAAUUAUUAAAGGGCCGCAGUAUUUUGACUGUGCGAAGGUAGCAUAAUCAAUAGUCUUUUAAUUGAAGGCUUGUAUGAAUGGUUGAAUGAGAUAUAUACUGUCUUUUUUAAAUUUUUAUAGAAUUUUAUUUUUUAAUUAAAAAGUUAAAAUGUAAUUAAAAGACGAGAAGACCCUAUAGAUCUUUAUUUUUGUUGAUUAUAAAUUAAAAAGAAUAAUUAAAUUUAUAGUUUAAUAAAAAAUUUUACUGGGGUGGUAUUAAAAUUUAAAAAACUUUUAUUUUUUGUUUACAUUAAUUUAUGAAUAUUUGAUCCAAUUUUAUUGAUUAAAAAAUUAAGUUACCUUAGGGAUAACAGCGUAAUUUUUUUUUAGAGUUCUUAUCGACAAAAAAGAUUGCGACCUCGAUGUUGGAUUAAGAGUUAUUUUUAGGUGUAGAAGUUUAAAGUUUAGGUCUGUUCGACCUUUGAAUUCUUACAUGAUCUGAGUUCAAACCGGCGUAAGCCAGGUUGGUUUCUAUCUUUAAUUAAAUAUUAUAUUAUAGUACGAAAGGACCUAAUAUAAAAAAUAUAAAUUUUAAUUUUAUGAAUUAUAUUAAUAUUUAAUAAAACUAUUUUGGCAGAUUAGUGCAAUAAAUUUAGAAUUUAUUUAUAUAAUUUAAUUAAUUAUAAAUAGUAUUGUUUUAUAUAGAUUAUUUAUUAUCAUUAAUUGGAAGUUUAUUAUUAGUAAUUUGUGUAAUAGUAGGAGUAGCUUUUUUAACUUUAUUAGAACGUAAAGUUUUAGGUUAUAUUCAAAUUCGA